CCACUGCUGAGGAGUCCCACAAUAGGACGAAGUGGCCGUCCAGUAC
This is a non-coding RNA of Schistosoma mattheei, 46 nucleotides long. NCBI's taxonomy places the organism in Eukaryota, Metazoa, Platyhelminthes, Trematoda, Strigeidida, Schistosomatidae. The record is from Rfam.